CCAAGCCAUCGAGCGGGGCGCGGACAGCUGCGCGGGCAGGGCUCCGCGGGGCGCCGCGCAGCCCCCUCCGCUCCGCCCGGCAACUAUUAAUGACCGGGCGGCCCCGGCGCGGACAGCAUCGCCGGGCGGGCUGCGAGCGCCGCGCUUUCAGCGACUCUUCUGCUGCCACUUCGCUUCUCCUGAGAACAUUUUUUCUGAGUGACUCCUGCUUCCAGACACAUUUGCCAUGA
This 230-nucleotide long non-coding RNA is filed under the name Lonchura striata (white-rumped munia). RNAcentral describes it as "domestica (Bengalese finch) lncRNA (ENSLSDG00000002281.1)". Lineage: Eukaryota; Metazoa; Chordata; Aves; Passeriformes; Estrildidae. The record is from RNAcentral.